Molecule: non-coding RNA, 418 nt
Organism: Biomphalaria pfeifferi
Lineage: Eukaryota; Metazoa; Mollusca; Gastropoda; Planorbidae
Source: the annotation of a GenBank genome assembly
AUCUAUAGAUUUUUUUUUUUACAAUUUUUAAAUGUUCCUUCAGAUUUGAAGAUAAUUAUAUCCUAACCUCAAAACACUCGCAGGACGGCGUUAGAUGAAGGCUGGGAUGGUUCAAACCCGGGACUAUAGUAACCAUAGGGGACAGACCAUAGCGCAUCUCGCACGACCAGGCUUUCACUUAACUCAUUUAAAUCUUUUGGCUAUCACCAAAAACUAUGCAUACGUCUCUUGCAUCAGCCCUCACUUUCUUUUGAAACUGAGCGUGUGUAGUCUCUUGCAUCAGCCCUCACGUUCUUUUGAAACUGAGCGUGUGUAGUCUCUUGCAUCAGCCCUCACUUUCUUUUGAAAAUGUGCGUGUGUAGUUUCUUGCAUCAGCCCUCACGUUCUUUUGAAACUGAGCGUGUGUAGUCUCUUGCAU